UACUGUGGAUUCAUUUAUUUUCGUGGGUACCAAUUUUCGAUGAUUGAGGAAAACUUACAUGUUCGUGGAUAUUUAAUUUCGUGGUUCUAUCAAAGUCGACAUACAAGCCUACGGAAAGUUUGUCAUUCGUGGAACAUUUAAUUUCGUGGUUAACCUGUUCCCACGAAAUCCACGGAAAUUGGUAUCCAAAGAAUAAUAAUGAAUCCACAGUAU
This 213-nucleotide long non-coding RNA is filed under the name Mytilus galloprovincialis (Mediterranean mussel). Lineage: Eukaryota; Metazoa; Mollusca; Bivalvia; Mytilida; Mytilidae. The record is from RNAcentral.